UGCCAGACUCCUACGGGAGGCAGCAGUGGGGAAUAUUGCACAAUGGGGGAAACCCUGAUGCAGCGACGCCGCGUGAGUGGAGAAGUAUCUCGGUAUGUAAAGCUCUAUCAGCAGGGAAGAAAAUGACGGUACCUGACUAAGAAGCCCCGGCUAACUACGUGCCAGCAGCCGCGGUAAUACGUAGGGGCAAGCGUUAUCCGGAUUUACUGGGUGUAAAGGGAGCGUAGACGGCAGGGCAAGUCUGGAGUGAAAGGCAGGGGCCCAACCCCUGGACUGCUCUGGAAACUGUCCGGCUGGAGUGCAGGAGAGGUAAGCGGAAUUCCUAGUGUAGCGGUGAAAUGCGUAGAUAUUAGGAGGAACACCAGUGGCGAAGGCGGCUUACUGGACUGUAACUGACGUUGAGGCUCGAAAGCAUGGGGAGCAAACAGGAUUAGAUACCCCGGUAA
This 446-nucleotide ribosomal RNA is filed under the name uncultured bacterium. RNAcentral's name for it is "bacterial SSU rRNA". It matches the Rfam family "Bacterial small subunit ribosomal RNA", at positions 329 to 793 of the family's 1533-position model. The record is from RNAcentral.